Molecule: long non-coding RNA, 3303 nt
Filed under: Homo sapiens (human)
Lineage: Eukaryota; Metazoa; Chordata; Mammalia; Primates; Hominidae
Description: HSALNT0289594
Source: RNAcentral
GGGGGCUGCUGGUUCUUCCAGGAGCGCGCAUGAGCGGACGCUGCCUACUGGUGGCCGGGCGGGAUGUAACCGGCUGCUGAGCUGGCAGUUCUGUGUCGCUAGGCUUCUGCCCGGCCGCCGCCGCACAUAAGCCACGAGGAGGAGCUUUACGACUUCCCGGUCUUCGGCGCCGGGCGCAGCAAGGGCCAGACUCUGCGCUAGCAGGCGCUGCGCGCCAACCGGCCGGCACCUGUCGCAGAAGGUGCAACCGAUCGCACUGUCGCGCAGAAGCUCCUCAAUGGCCAGCGCCAGCUGCAGCCCCGGCCGCCCACUCGCCUCAUCUGAGCCUGGCAGAAGGUAAGCAUGAGCAAAUUACUUUUUAGAGGUAACUUUGCUGAACUUGUGAAGAAUGGUGUGCAAGGUCCAGAGCGACUGCAGGAGAGGGAAGGUGGGAUUCCCACAGAGCAGGAGCACAGAUAAGCCAAGCAAGGCCCUGCUUGGAAGGCAGCAAUCAACAGAGAUGCACAGACCUGUGAGGGUGCCGGGACAGCCAUGCAACAAUGCAGCCCUUUUGCUUCCUGAGCUCACCAGUUCCCUCGCUCCACCUCUGAGAGGUGGUUUGGAGAAACACAGCCCUUCUCAAGAGGGCUGCAAGCUACUUAAGUCCUGAAAAUUUCCACAAGGCUGAGUCAAAUCUGCGUUUCAUCAUCUAUAAGAAAGGUACCUAUCGAGAACACCCUGCUGGCCAGUGUGUAAAUAUCUAAAGGAGGACUCAGAAAACACCGGGGAAGUCCAGCCUGCACGUGGUGGCUGGGCUUCAGUGAAGCAUGCAGCACAACAGGAGUUGUAAGUAGUAGUUACAUCAGCAGCCCUGGAAAUUCUGCUCAGAACCAAACUGAACAAAUAACAUUAUCUAAGGCUUACAAUUAUUUAACUCCCUAAAUUUUCUGUCCUCCCAGUAGCACUUUCAAAUGCCUAAAAGCAAUUAAAAGAAACAUUUUUCCAAUGUCUCACAGAACCAUUAGAAACACAAAAUUAAUAGCUUCAUAAACUAUAGCUUCUAUUUUAUCCAUAAUAGAAUGAAGGUGCAUAAACCACAUAGUAAUUAAUCUUUGGACAAAAGCAAACAAUAAAUGGAAUAUAUGGCUAAGAUCCUUUCUUUUUGAGUGUGGCCCAAGAUAAAAAUUUCUUCCAAAAGGGUAACAUUAAUGCAAUAAGGCUUUUGUGGAAUUCUAUUUUGUACGAAAUUCCUGUUUUCUAUUAGCUACUUCUUCCUCUGUGACACAAGCCUCAUUCCUUGUGAAAAACACGAAGCAGAAAACAUUCGUGAAAUCAUCAGGUAAAGAUCCCAUGACCGUUCUAUCACUGACACAGUAUGUAGGUACAUGGUACAACCCCCAAGGGACCACCUUGUGGCAUCCUCAGCAACCACAGAGCCACAGGGCAGAUGAGUGUUUGCUCCCACUGAGGCUCUGCAACCUCUGCCACCAAUACUGGAGAAAUCCUCCAACCUCACUGUUUUCUCCUGAACUUGUUCCCUUCUGUUUUUCGAUUAAUACACAGCAAACAGGCACACCUUCAAGCUGCCAAAAGCAUCUUAAACGUUGUACACUUACAAUCUUCAAAAUAUAGUUGUUCAAAAGAGUCAUCAAAGUAGUUUUUGAAAUAGAACACUUACUUUGACCACAUAAUUGAACCUUCGGAUAUCUUGAAUUGCACUUGAGAAGUCUAACCGAUUAAAGGCUUCUCCCAAGGUGCAAUAGCCAUGCCUCUGGAAGAGCAACACAGAAUUUAAAAUUAGUCAAUUAGCCAAAAAGAAUUGGCAGUUAAUGUCAAUUAAUUGUGCGAUUAAAAAAAUUUUUGGCAAAGGACAAUUUGUUUUUAUUUUGAAGACUGAUUUUAGAUUUAGAUGAGAGUAUAGUAAAAUUGUAGCAAUGCUAAUAAUUUAAGCUGUUUAUGUAUACCUGAGACACCAUUAACUGACAUUUUUUACAACCUGCUGAAGUAAUGACAAAGACAAAUAUUUAUUAAAUAUCUUGCUGGUUUGUUUUGUUGGGGACAAACUGGGGUGUGGACGAUGUUAAAGCUAAGAUCAUAAAAAAACUGGAUUCAUUCUAGGCUACGCAACUAAAAAUACAUAAAUCAUCUGAUUAACUGCAUUGUAAGGAUGUAGGUGUUACAAAUAUCUAGUUGAAACACAGGAUUUCUCUGCAGGGGAGGCAUGCACUGCCCGAGUUUGAAGUGUAACAUGGGAUUUCUCUCCAGAGCAGCCAUGCACUGCCCAGGCUGGAAGUAUGCUCAACCACAAGGGUCAGGGCUGGGAGAGGCGCUUCGGUAGCAAGAAGGUGCCUCUGAAAACCAGCAUUGGGAUGGAGAGGGCUGAAGGCAAGUGCUGGAUGUGACCACGGGCAGCUUUCAGGCUGGGAGCACGGAUGCCAAGAACCCAAAACACCAAAAAAACUGGUGCUUAGACCCACAGGUCCAAGAACCGAAGGAAGAAAAUGAAACAAUUUAUUUUCAGUACUGUAAACACUGCUGCUAUUCUCUUAGAUGUUUUUCUUCCAUGAUAUACCCUUAUCCUGUAUUGGUUUGUAUAGAUUAGCACAUUAGGUUUCAGAAGUCAUUUUAAACUCCAUCUUCAUCCUCCAUAUUUGAAAUAUUUAAAAUCUACAGAUUUUCAGGUCAAAGUUGUAGAGAUAAGUAAGCUAGAAAACAAUAAUAGAAAACAUGAGACGAUUGGUCUCAAAUUCCAAACAGGUGACUUGAGAUGUCCUAGAGAAAGCAGCUGGAGCCAUAGCACCUUUGUCUCUAACAGCCGAUACACUCAGAGGCUCAUGUGCUUCUGUGCGCCAACCCCAAUCGCCCUGACGGGUGCACAACUCAACUAAAUAUACUCAUUUAAAACAUCCAAAUAUGUUGACUGAGUGCCUGCUAUGUGGAAAACAUUUUCCUGGGAACUCUGGGGAAAGGAAACACUCAUUUUGAUAUAGAUUAUAAUCUGAAAUCCAUCACAGCUGAUAUUCCACACGAUGGUGUAGCAGACACUUUCCAAGGUCACCACCCAUCUCACAAAAGGAAAUUAAAUCUGAUUCACAGAGCAGACCACAAAGAGCAUGUCUGGACCUAGAACCACAGCAUGUAACCUCGGAAGCAGUGAGACACCAGCCAGCAUGGACAAGCAGCAGGCACUUGCUCUAUACCAGAUAGGUCCCACCUCCAGCCUUCCCCUGCUGCCAUCUAACAUCCUAAACUCCAGCUCUGAAUGUCUGUCUCCUGCUCUGAAUCUUCAGUGACUUCGAAACUCAAGUCAGGACACCUCUCAGU